UCCGUAGGUGAACCUGCGGAGGGAUCAUUACAAGUAACCCCGGUCUAACCACCGGGAUGUUCAUAACCCUUUGUUGUCCGACUCUGUUGCCUCCGGGGCGACCCUGCCUUCGGGCGGGGGCUCCGGGUGGACACUUCAAACUCUUGCGUAACUUUGCAGUCUGAGUAAACUUAAUUAAUAAAUUAAAACUUUUAACAACGGAUCUCUUGGUUCUGGCAUCGAUGAAGAACGCAGCGAAAUGCGAUAAAUAAUGUGAAUUGCAGAAUCCAGUGAAUCAUCGGAUCUUUGAACGCACAUUGCGCCCCCUGGUAUUCCGGGGGGCAUGCCUGUUCGAGCGUCAUUUCACCACUCAAGCCUCGCUUGGUAUUGGGCAACGCGGUCCGCCGCGUGCCUCAAAUCGACCGGCUGGGUCUCCUGUCCCCUAAGCGUUGUGGAAACUAUUCGCUAAAGGGUGCUCGGGAGGCUACGCCGUAAAACAAACCCAUUUCUAAGGUUGACCUCGGAUCAGGUAGGGAUACCCGCUGAACUUAAGCAUAUCAAUAAGCGGAGGAAAAGAAACCAACAGGGAUUGCCCCAGUAACG
RNAcentral lists this ribosomal RNA (582 nucleotides) under uncultured fungus. Its description in RNAcentral is "eukaryotic LSU rRNA". The stretch from base 187 to 340 matches the Rfam family "5.8S ribosomal RNA". Lineage: Eukaryota; Fungi. The record is from RNAcentral.